AGGAUUAACGCUGGCGGCGUGCAUGAGACAUGCAAGUCGAACGGACGAUCAGGGCUUGCUCUGAUCGUUAGUGGCGGACGGCUGAGUAACGCGUAGGUGACCUGCCCCGAAGUGGGGGAUAACUGCCCGAAAGGGUGGCUAAUACCGCAUGUGGAGGUUUGUUCAUUCGAACCUUCAAAGCAGUAAUGCGCUUCGGGAGGGGCCUGCGUCCGAUUAGCUCGUUGGUGGGGUAACGGCUCACCAAGGCGACGAUCGGUAGGUGGUCUGAGAGGACGAUCACCCAGACUGGGACUGAGACACGGCCCAGACUCCUACGGGAGGCAGCAGUCGGGAAUUUUGCUCAAUGGGGGAAACCCUGAAGCAGCAACGCCGCGUGAGGGAUGAAGGCCUUCGGGUUGUAAACCUCUUUUCUCAGGGAAGAUAAUGACGGUACCUGAGGAAUAAGCCACGGCUAACUACGUGCCAGCAGCCGC
Molecule: ribosomal RNA, 473 nt
Filed under: uncultured bacterium
Lineage: Bacteria
Description: SSU rRNA
Rfam family: Bacterial small subunit ribosomal RNA
Source: RNAcentral